This is a long non-coding RNA of Haliotis rufescens (red abalone), 515 nucleotides long. RefSeq lists it as uncharacterized. Lineage: Eukaryota; Metazoa; Mollusca; Gastropoda; Lepetellida; Haliotidae. The transcript has 5 exons. The record is from RefSeq and is a predicted model, not a curated record.
GAACACCAGCAUCAAAUCAUGACGAUUGUGAUCACCCUGCAAGAACACGCACUCCUCAAUUUAGGUCAAGUUGCCUCGGCAGCUGACUGAUUAAGCCAUUAGGUCACACUGCAAUAGGAAGAUCCGAGCACUCGGUUACGACACAGGUGCUAUAAACAGGACUUAAAAGGACGGGCUAUGGAAGAAAGGCACGGUAAACAAGGGCCAAGACAAGUCAACGUGAAAACUAAACAAUUUGGAGUUCCAGAGGGACUAAUAAAAUCUCGGCCCUUUCCUUUGCCGCCGACAGGUAACACGGUACCGGAAAGGCCGAAGGCUCAAAGUCCGAAACCGCCGAAAAAUGUGAAAGCAUGAAAUUCGUUAUUUCCGAGGUGAGAAUGAAGAACCUGAAUCAUCAAGAAUCAUCUCCCACAGAGAUUUCGGAACUCCGCCCCUGAAACUCUACUCUCCAAAUCCUGCCUGGGUCGUCUUGACCUGGACUGGAAUGUCUGUACGAGGCUCAAUAAAAUAAUUUA